UAAUAUCUCAACUCUGACCUUGGGGGGUUUCUUCCAAGGGUGAAGUUUGGAUGGUGGAGGUGUGCUGGCUGCUCCGUCGGUCAGCUCCUCUGAAAAAAAUAAGCAAAGGGAAACAACGCACCUGUUCCUGCAUCUCAUGCUUUUGGCAUUGAUAAUUGUCUAUGCCUGUCGUGGCUCAGAUGCUUUUUGGAUCGAGGGGUCUUUGCUUACAGUCGUCCUUUUUUGGACCUUUUGAC
Molecule: unclassified non-coding RNA, 236 nt
Filed under: uncultured Hygrocybe
Lineage: Eukaryota; Fungi; Basidiomycota; Agaricomycetes; Agaricales; Hygrophoraceae
Description: sequence contains ITS2
Source: RNAcentral